Molecule: ribosomal RNA, 468 nt
Filed under: uncultured bacterium
Lineage: Bacteria
Description: partial 16S ribosomal RNA
Rfam family: Bacterial small subunit ribosomal RNA
Source: RNAcentral
GACGAACGCUGGCGUCGUGCUUAACACAUGCAAGUCGAACGGAAAGGCCCUGCUUUUGUGGGGUGCUCGAGUGGCGAACGGGUGAGUAACACGUGAGUAACCUGCCCUUGACUUUGGGAUAACUUCAGGAAACUGGGGCUAAUACCGGAUAGGAGCUCCUGCUGCAUGGUGGGGGUUGGAAAGUUUCGGCGGUUGGGGAUGGACUCGCGGCUUAUCAGCUUGUUGGUGGGGUAGUGGCUUACCAAGGCUUUGACGGGUAGCCGGCCUGAGAGGGUGACCGGCCACAUUGGGACUGAGAUACGGCCCAGUCUCCUACGGGAGGCAGCAGUGGGGAAUAUUGCACAAUGGGCGGAAGCCUGAUGCAGCAACGCCGCGUGCGGGAUGACGGCCUUCGGGUUGUAAACCGCUUUCGCCUGUGACGAAGCGUGAGUGACGGUAAUGGGUAAAGAAGCACCGGCUAACUACGUG